CAGUAGCCGCGGGAAUACGUAGGGUGCAAGCGUUAAUCGGAAUUACUGGGCGUAAAGCGUGCGCAGGCGGUUAUAUAAGACAGAUGUGAAAUCCCCGGGCUCAACCUGGGAACUGCAUUUGUGACUGUAUAGCUAGAGUACGGCAGAGGGGGAUGGAAUUCCGCGUGUAGCAGUGAAAUGCGUAGAUAUGCGGAGGAACACCGAUGGCGAAGGCAAUCCCCUGGGCCUGUACUGACGCUCAUGCACGAAAGCGUGGGGAGCAAACAGGAUUAGAGACCCCUGUAGUCCCUGUCUCUUAUAC
This 301-nucleotide ribosomal RNA is filed under the name uncultured bacterium. Its description in RNAcentral is "partial 16S ribosomal RNA". It matches the Rfam family "Bacterial small subunit ribosomal RNA", at positions 509 to 807 of the family's 1533-position model. The record is from RNAcentral.